This is a transfer RNA of Toxocara canis (dog roundworm), 72 nucleotides long. It matches the Rfam family "tRNA". From Rfam's summary of the family: Transfer RNA (tRNA) molecules are approximately 80 nucleotides in length. Their secondary structure includes four short double-helical elements and three loops (D, anti-codon, and T loops). Lineage: Eukaryota; Metazoa; Nematoda; Chromadorea; Rhabditida; Toxocaridae. The record is from Rfam.
GGGGUAGCAGCUCAGUGGUGGAACUCCCGUUUCAUACGCGGGAAGACCUGGGUUCGAUUUCCGGCUGCCUUC